Molecule: ribosomal RNA, 1368 nt
Filed under: Triticum aestivum (bread wheat)
Lineage: Eukaryota; Viridiplantae; Streptophyta; Magnoliopsida; Poales; Poaceae
Description: partial small subunit ribosomal RNA
Source: RNAcentral
AUGGCCACGUCGAUUUACUGUGCCGAGGGAAUAAAGAAAAAAAAGAGAUAUGGUCGAGCGCACGAAUUGCGGGAUUGGUCAGCGACUCUUUCGCCCCUCACACCCAGCGUCUCCCUCCUUGCUAGGGUUAGGAAAAACGUGGCCGCCGCCGCCGCCGCCGCCCUCCCCCACUUCGCUCCAGGUCACCCCUCUCCAUGUCCCGUCCUGAGCUCCACCUCCUCCAGCCCCCGCCUGGGCUCUGCUCCUUCUUCCUUGUUGGCGCUCAACCGGACGAGGGUGGACUGCCACAAGCCGCAGCAGAGGGACACGUCGAUGAGGAUGGCAAGUCGAGAGGGGAUCGGGAGGCAUGAGGCGUGGAUACGGGUGGAGCGGCUGAAGAAGGGGUUAUGUGGGGCAACCGUCCCGUCUUCUUCCGUGGAGUGGUCACUGUCGUCGCCAAGCUACUCAACUCGUCGAACACGAUGUCGCCAUGUUCGGGAAGAAGGAUUAUCAGCAGUGGCGUCUCCUUUGCCGAAUGGGAAGGAUACAUCCCGGCCUGGCCACCGCUGGCAUGUCGGUGCCCUCAACAAGUUCCUGCACGGGGAUGUGAAGUCUGGUCCGAGGCCGCUUGGCAGGAUGGCGCUCACUCUAGUGCCAAGUAGAAUUCUUGAGCUCCUGCUUCACUUGCAAGAAGAAGCUACAGAAAGGCAUACUGAUCUAAUUGUUGUGUGCCAUUGCAUCGGUGAGAAGGCAUUCUGCAGUGCCGACUGCCGGGACCAAGAGAUCAUGAUCGAAGAGGAAGCAAAGAACAAGAUCGCCAUCAGAUGCUUGUCCUGCUCAUCCCUGCCCACCGGUGGAUGGAACGGACAACAGCGGAGGACAUGGACAUGGCUUGUCCUGCUCGUCCUGAACAACGUCGAGCAACAGUCUUAUUUGGGAAUACAUGUGAAACAUUUUGUGAUCUUUCAUGCUUCUGUCCUCUCCUCAGGGUUUGACGCUGCUGCUUCUUACCUCUGUAGAGAUCCUGGUAUGGUGCCUCGUAACAAUGAUACUGGAAAUGGUCAGACUCCACAACAAUUGCGCUUACCACGAACAAAGGAUGUUAUUGUAAAUGGAACCGUUGUAAAGGUCAAGUACUACCACACCUACAUGCUGCACCCGCCACCUCGUUCUUCUCACUGUUCUAUCUAUGACAACUGUGUGGAGCGUUUUGAUCAUCACUGUCCUUGGGUUGGUCAAUGCAUAGGACUGGUAACUAUAUUAAUGCCUAAUAGUCUACUCUGCCUCUACGUGUCUGGGUUCUGCUGGGUGUACAUAACUAAGAUCAAAGAUGCAGAGGAUUCAUCGAUUUGGAGGGCAAUGUUGAAGACACCUGCCGAGUGGUUCUGA